AGCACCAUCAUCAGAGACAUAGCACGAAACCUUGUCCACAGGAUAGUCACAAGCAAGAAUGGAGAGAACAGUAUUUGCAGUAAUAAGUGGAGGUUCUUUUAGGGGAUCCACUGUACUAACAAAUAUAUCUACAGGGGCUAACCCAGAAGGCUUCCCUUCUUUCUCAUACCUCAGAGAUAGCCUAUCCAAGUAUGUCUCUCGACGAAUUGGACACCAUUUAGGUAACUG
RNAcentral lists this unclassified non-coding RNA (228 nucleotides) under Hevea brasiliensis (rubber tree). Lineage: Eukaryota; Viridiplantae; Streptophyta; Magnoliopsida; Malpighiales; Euphorbiaceae. The record is from RNAcentral.